AUGGGUCGCCGCAUGUAGCUGGUUUUAUGAUCCAGUUCCAUCUCCGGUGCAUCGUCAUUUUCUCUACCUGUGAGGGUGUUUGGAGGACGGAGGUGAAACUGGUGUACACAUCCAUGUGACGGAGUGAACAAGCUGCCUGCAUAUAGGAAGCCAUCUGACCGCUCCUGAGGCAGUUGGCUCGUCUGUGCCCACCUAGGCCAUCUCUGAUCUAUAGCUACGUCCUUCGACACGUUCGUUACAACUACCCGCUGCAGAUGGAUAUAUGAGAGGCACCCUUAAUCGAUUUACUGCACCGGAAACAACCGUCGAACUACCUAACCGAUCCAGUAACAGCUGCGAUUUCACGAGGAGCGUAGUAUUGGCCGUUCGGAUCGAGUACCUGAAAGUUUAACGACCUUAAUAAGAAGAGGAUUAGGUGCUGCACAGGGACGCCUGUGAUACGUUCAUUUAUCACGGGAUAUGUGAAUUUGUACGUACAUGUAUACAUGGAUACGUAUACACUAAGCGUGUACAACAAUUAACAACGAAGAGAUUUUACAUGACUAUGCCCAUUGAAUCGAGGUGACAAAGGAGUCGGAAUAUCGUCAUUAUCAUAUUUGAAACUCACCGCUGAGACCGGUCGCCUUGUCGUUUGAUGACGUCGCGUCGAACACGGCCGCGUAUUCUUCGAGGCCCAGAGACCGUUUAAAGUGUUCGUCGAUCGCCGGGUCGCAGACAACGCCGCUGCUCCUGACCCCGGUUCGCUGGGUCCCCGUUGCAGCGGAUGCAGUGGCCGUGCAGGCCGCUACCGCCGUGUCCUCGACGGUCGUUCCUAAUUUCAAUCGUAAACAAUUUAACAACAGGGUGACAACAGUUGUUGAAACAGAUUCGAUCUGGACCAAUGAGAUCUCUAACCCUGCUGGUAAUAAUAAUUAAGCAAGUAGAAUUUGCGUUACUUUGCACGAAACUCAAAGGCGAAUUGGAUCGUAAGAAGAAUUUCGCUAAUCUCGAGCAUGGGAGAUAUGGGAAACCGUGCGGUAACGACUUGAGAGAUAGGGGGGAAAAAUGAGAGAAGUAAGGAAAGAAAAAAUCGAGGAAAGUGGGCCAAAAUCGAUCCCACACAUCGGAAUAGAGAUUGUAGGUAUAUACGUAGUCGCUGAGAGCGGUUGAAAGGUGUAUAUGUAUACAUAAUAACGUAAAUCGGUUAUCGGAAUGUUUGAGAUAACAAUUUUGUUUGUUUUUGAAUUAGAGGCGAAUGUUCUUAAUGCGCAUACGAGCGAAAGCUUGAUUCUUUCGUCGUGUCGUUUUGACAAAUAUAAAUAAUUAAACGAACUUGACCAGUUGGACAUACAAGGACGUUAUACAAACCGAAAGUCUGCACAUUUGGGAAACACGACGUAUACACUAUACAAUAUGUGCAUAACACGAUGCGUGUAUCGUUCGUGUGUGCGUCGCGUAGGAAUUUAGCGAUAGUAUGAGGCAGCACUGGGAUGUGUAAAUAAAAUGAAGCUGUGUAGAACGCAGGUACAUAGAAUUUACGAUAAAUAAUACAUGAUUCGAGGAAUUUUAACGUUUGUUGCAACAAAUAGCGAAGGAACGAACGAGUUACAAAGUUCGUAAGCUGUCUGGCAUCCCCAAUAACAAAUCGAUAGUGGAAUGCGGGACAGAGUAAAAAAAAAGCAGACCUUGCAUUCCUGAGGAGCUAAAUGGAAAUGUUUUACGAAGAGAGAAGACUUACCUGUUCGAUACACCUUAAUCGCAGUUCCCGUGCACCUCACACUUGGCAAUAGUGACAACCGACUGAUGUGUCGUGAAAACUUGCCCCCGGAGACUUGCUUGUAUUAUUUUUUCAUUGAGAAUUAUUAAAAUCGAAUGGUAUGCGGACAGACACACACAGCACAAGCUGUUUGACACGAGAAGUAAGUCGGGGACCCCACCACUUGUACGCAACUGGAAUGCAUGGUAUUCGUUCGAGGAGCCGACCUCUACCGGCAAAAUCGUCAAUUCUUUUGUCGUCUCGUUUCCCCGCACAACAAGCCGUCCAGCUCCUACGAUCCAUGCACUACACUCGGCCACUUUUACGUACGAAUUCUGCACACCCAUACAGACUUGUACUCAUGCGCAUACGUGUGAAUCCUUCAAAUGCACGUACAAGUAUAUCGAUGCAUUCAUAGUGCAUACGACGUUGCUUCGUAUUUGCCUACGCAACGUGCGUCAUGAAAGUUUAUUUGUCGCGUAUAUAUGCCGAACCAAGGAUUACAGACAAUAUGCAUCGGAAAUAAACCCACUCUGAUAUUCAUUAAGCCGAUACCACGCCUCUUCUUUACCGAUUGAAAUUAUCCUCAUUGCAGUUUUUCAAAUUACUUCUAAACUCGGACGUUGAAUCAAUUGUCCUACUACUGUUGUGUGGUUUAUGCAGUGUUGAAUUGACGAAUGUUGAAUGAAAACGACAAAAACUUGAUUUCAACAAAGUGUCUCUGUUGUAUUGUUUCCUGCGCAAAGAUGGCUACUUGUACUCUUCACCAAAGCGCACCGUUCGUAUAAUUCUUUGUGCAUUUAUAUUCUUACCCUUCGUGGACUGCAGUGAUUCACGUGGAAAUGCCAAACUUGACUUGUUAGUAUCUUACCAGAGGCGCGGAAAUAUCAUUUACUGACGAUACGCUAUUUUCAUUUACAAUGUUUUCGAAAAACUGUAAAUCUGCGAUUACCGACGGUUCAAAAUUCCCCGACGAGCGGAGUGUCGCCUUAAGGUUACUGUCAACACCUGCAGAAGUUUGAGCAUAGUCCGUGAUCAUGCGCGGGUCCAUUACGAAUUAUUUGACAUUUGUUAUAGCGUCUUCAACGUUUUUCAAUCUGUCGUGAAUUGUUCAAUUUAAAAAAUAAGCAAAUGAUAUGUAUGAUAUAAUAAGACCCAAAAAAUGUUUUUCGGAAAAACCAUUAGCUUGUAAUUUUAAGAUUGUCUCCAGUUAAUCCAGUAAACCGUGAUAAAUUAAAAUGUACUCAUAGAAAAACUGUAAAACAAUCUUGUGUCGAACUAAAUAAUUUUUUUUUUCCUCUUCACUGAUUGUGAGAAGUUUAUUUCACUUUAAUGAACAACACAAAACCAAAUGGACAACUUGUAGAGAAUAGCUGUAGCGGUGUGAAAUUUGU
Long non-coding RNA from Neodiprion virginianus, 3129 nucleotides. RefSeq lists it as uncharacterized. The transcript has 5 exons. The record is from RefSeq and is a predicted model, not a curated record. NCBI's taxonomy places the organism in Eukaryota, Metazoa, Arthropoda, Insecta, Hymenoptera, Diprionidae.